GUGCUCACAGCAGCAGCGCAUGUGCCAAAAUGGGAAAUAGACAGAGGAGAUUAGCAUGGCCCCUGUGCAGGGAUGACAUGCACAUUCACAAGCAAUCUAUCUUUUC
Grammomys surdaster is the source of this 106-nucleotide small nuclear RNA. Lineage: Eukaryota; Metazoa; Chordata; Mammalia; Rodentia; Muridae. The record is from RefSeq and is a predicted model, not a curated record.